UACGAAGGGGGCUAGCGUUGCUCGGAAUCACUGGGCGUAAAGGGCGCGUAGGCGGCCAAUCAAGUCGGGGGUGAAAGCCCAGGGCUCAACCCUGGAAUUGCCUUCGAUACUGUUUGGCUAGAGACCGGAAGAGGUAAGUGGAACUGCGAGUGUAGAGGUGAAAUUCGUAGAUAUUCGCAAGAACACCAGUGGCGAAGGCGGCUUACUGGUCCGGUUCUGACGCUGAGGCGCGAAAGCGUGGGGAGCAAACAGG
Molecule: ribosomal RNA, 253 nt
Filed under: uncultured prokaryote
Description: partial 16S ribosomal RNA
Rfam family: Bacterial small subunit ribosomal RNA
Source: RNAcentral